Molecule: long non-coding RNA, 820 nt
Organism: Clupea harengus (Atlantic herring)
Lineage: Eukaryota; Metazoa; Chordata; Actinopteri; Clupeiformes; Clupeidae
Source: Ensembl
CCCUUUGCUACACCAGUCCACACAACCCUCAACCCCCCACGUGGAGUUCCCGUCCUCCAGUAUCCGGAUAUAGCCUAUAGGCCGCCUAUUUGUUUAACCACCCCUCUGUCAACACUGGCAGCAAAUCAGGGUUUGUGUCUGGUCUCCAACUUAGAGUGGCCUAUAGCUUAGCAGCAGAAACCUCUGUGUUGCUAUUCGGAGAGUACUGUAAGUGUGAAUAGGAGAGUACUGUACUGUAAGUGUGAAUAGGAGAGUACUGUAAGUGUGAAUAGGAGAGUACUGUACUGUAAGUGUGAAUAGGAGAGUACUGUAAGUGUGAAUGGGAGAGUACUGUAAGUGUGAAUAGGAGAGUACUGUAAGUGUGAAUAGGAGAGUACUGUAAGUGUGAAUAGGAGAGUACUGUAAGUGUGAAUAGGAGAGUACUGUACUGUAAGUGUGAAUAGGAGAGUACUGUAAGUGUGAAUGGGAGAGUACUGUAAGUGUGAAUAGGAGAGUACUGUAAGUGUGAAUGGGAGAGUACUGUAAGUGUGAAUGGGAGAGUACUGUAAGUGUGAAUAGGAGAGUACUGUAAGUGUGAAUGGGAGAGUACUGUACUGUAAGUGUGAAUAGGAGAGUACUGUACUGUAAGUGUGAAUGGGAGAGUACUGUACUGUAAGUGUGAAUAGGAGAGUACUGUAAGUGUGAAUAGGAGAGUACUGUAAGUGUGAAUGGGAGAGUACUGUAAGUGUGAAUAGGAGAGUACUGUACUGUAAGUGUGAAUAAGAGAGUACUGUAAGUGUGAAUAGGAGAGUACUGUAAGUGUGAAUAGGAGAGUACUGUA